AUGUCUCCCUAUAUGAUAUUUUUUUGGCAACUGGAUGUAGAUGCAACUUUUUUAGCAUGCUUUCCAUGUUUAUGACAAGUUCAUUCAUCAUAAAUUAGGUGGGCCAACACCGUCUGAAUAUGAAAAACUACAAGCAGAAAUGCAAGAUUUGCAGUUAAAGUAUGAUGAGCUUUCAGCAACUCACCUAGACACUUGCAGGGAGUACAACUUUGCGGGCCGCCUCCUUGGUCCUAGAGGGAACUCUCUCAAGUGAGUGGAGGCAAAUACUGAAUGCCAUGUCUUGAUCAUUCAAGCAUAGGAGUGAACCUAGACCCAUUACGUAAGUGGUCAAAGGAAAUGGUGAAAGGGUGGGAAGCUAAUCUUCUCAUUUGAUGCAACAAAGAAAGCUAGCUUUGGUGUACUCCCACGAUAUGCAAAAGAUGAGCUUCAAAUCAGAUGGUUUGACCUCCCAAAUUGCUUUAUCUUCCAUAAUGGUGAGUUUUUUUUUUUUCCCUUUAAUAGACCAACAACAAUGUCUCGGGAAACAUUUGAAGCUUACUAUGCCUGAUGUGUAUUUUGCAUCAUAAUCCUAUAUGUCAUAUCAAGCAGGGUUAAUUGGCUUGGGCAUUGAGGGGUCCCAGAUGUGUGUUUGUGUUUCUAGUCCUUUGUAGCAUGCUCCCAUUCUUCAACCUUGAUCAUUAGUGGGGAGACUUUUCUUUUUCAAUCAGUUACCUUUGGCCUCUUUUUGUAUCUUGCCAGAGCCGAGAUCUAUUUGUUGUUUGUCUAUGAUUUGAAUUUAACACUUUAACUGAUUUACUCUAUUGGCUGGCUUGCAUUACCUUGACACAUGUUUUUAUUGGAUAUGCUUAAGUAUUGAUGCACAUAGAUU
This is a long non-coding RNA of Magnolia sinica, 868 nucleotides long. RefSeq lists it as uncharacterized. The transcript has 3 exons. The record is from RefSeq and is a predicted model, not a curated record. NCBI's taxonomy places the organism in Eukaryota, Viridiplantae, Streptophyta, Magnoliopsida, Magnoliales, Magnoliaceae.